GUGGGUAGCGGUGAAAUUCCAAUCGAGCCCGGAGAUAGCUGGUUCUCCCCGAAAUAGCUUUAGGGCUAGCCUCAAGGUGAGAGAUACGGAGGUAGAGCACUGAAUGUCCUAGGGGGUAUUGCACCUACCGAAGACUAUCAAACUCCGAAUGCCGUCAUCUUAUACUUGGGAGUCAGACUGUGGGUGAUAAGAUUCAUAGUCGAAAGGGCAACAGCCCAGAUCGUCAGCUAAGGUCCCUAAAUGUAAGUUAAGUGGUAAAGGAUGUGGGAUUGCACAGACAACCAGGAUGUUGGCUUAGAAGCAGCCACUCAUUCAAAGAGUGCGUAAUAGCUCACUGGUCGAGUGAUCCUGCGCCGAAGAUUUCCGGGGCUAAAACUUACUACCGAAGCUACGGCAUCAGUAAUGAUGGGUAGGGGAGCUUCCCAUACAGGUUGAAGCAUGACCGUAAGGACAUGUGGACAGUAUGGGAGUGAGAAUGUUGGCAUGAGUAGCGAGAUGUGGGUGAGAAUCCCACAGGCCGUAAACCCAAGGUUUCCAGGGGAAGG
Molecule: ribosomal RNA, 545 nt
Filed under: Clostridioides difficile
Lineage: Bacteria; Bacillati; Bacillota; Clostridia; Peptostreptococcales; Peptostreptococcaceae
Description: bacterial LSU rRNA
Rfam family: Bacterial large subunit ribosomal RNA
Source: RNAcentral